This 18-nucleotide transfer RNA is filed under the name Amburana cearensis. RNAcentral's name for it is "partial tRNA-Leu". The record is from RNAcentral. Lineage: Eukaryota; Viridiplantae; Streptophyta; Magnoliopsida; Fabales; Fabaceae.
AUCGGUCGAUUUCGAAAU